This 253-nucleotide ribosomal RNA is filed under the name uncultured bacterium. RNAcentral describes it as "partial 16S ribosomal RNA". It matches the Rfam family "Bacterial small subunit ribosomal RNA", at positions 524 to 776 of the family's 1533-position model. The record is from RNAcentral.
UACGUAGGGGGCAAGCGUUGUCCGGAAUUAUUGGGCGUAAAGAGCUUGUAGGCGGUCUGUCGCGUCUGCUGUGAAAAUCCGGGGCUCAACCCCGGACUUGCAGUGGGUACGGGCAGACUAGAGUGUGGUAGGGGAGACUGGAAUUCCUGGUGUAGCGGUGAAAUGCGCAGAUAUCAGGAGGAACACCGAUGGCGAAGGCAGGUCUCUGGGCCACUACUGACGCUGAUGCGCGAAAGCCAGGGGAGCGAACGGG